UACGUAGGGAGCAAGCGUUAUCCGGAAUUAUUGGGUGUAAAGGGUGCGUAGACGGGAUAACAAGUUAGUUGUGAAAUCCUCUGGCUCAACUAGAGAAUUGCAACUAAAACUAUUAUUCUUGAGUGCAGGAGAGGAAAGCGGAAUUCCUAGUGUAGCGGUGAAAUGCGUAGAUAUUAGGAAGAACAUCGGUGGCGAAGGCGACUUUCUGGACUGUAACUGACGUUGAGGCACGAAAGCGUGGGGAUCAAAC
RNAcentral lists this ribosomal RNA (250 nucleotides) under uncultured prokaryote. RNAcentral's name for it is "partial 16S ribosomal RNA". It matches the Rfam family "Bacterial small subunit ribosomal RNA", at positions 524 to 773 of the family's 1533-position model. The record is from RNAcentral.